ACAGACUAGUCGUGCUACCUUCAAAGUGGUUACUAAUCGUACAUUUUCGACAAGGCAAAAGAAUGGAUGGUUAUAUACCUGCUCAUCUUACAGCCAUCGCCUAUGCUCUCCCACCCUCUUCGAUGAGGCGACAUCUCCCUGCUCCUUCCACGGCAUGACGGCAGUGCACUGCAUCGUCUAAAGCACCCCCAUGCUGCCCCUGGUUCGAUUCCUCCCAAGAGCGGAUCUGCGCCAAAGGGAAACUUUUCUUCCUCACGCGGAUAACGGCCACUGGCUGCUCCA
Long non-coding RNA from Hordeum vulgare subsp. vulgare (domesticated barley), 282 nucleotides. RefSeq lists it as uncharacterized. The transcript is spliced from 4 exons. Lineage: Eukaryota; Viridiplantae; Streptophyta; Magnoliopsida; Poales; Poaceae. The record is from RefSeq and is a predicted model, not a curated record.